NNNNGUGAGGGCUUUCUGGUUGCGACAUCUGUCACCUUAUUGAUCCACCAAGGUGAUUUUGGUUGAUCUGACUGGCUAGGACGGGUGUCCCCUUCCCUUCCUCAACGCUCCAUGUGUGCCCUUCCCCAAAAGCUGUGUGGUUGAAGAGGACCACCCUCUCUGAUAGAAGGAGGACCCUCCUUCAGUCAAGGGUCUAUGAGUAGCUGCGCUCCCCAGGGGAACCCUCCAAACAUCUGUCCAGGCCCAACAGUGGGCUUUUCUCUGCAGGGCGCCAGGCCUCUUGGAUCUCAUUCUGCGCAUCCUUUGUAUUGAAGUCUCCCAAGAA
This 325-nucleotide small nuclear RNA is filed under the name Echinops telfairi (small Madagascar hedgehog). RNAcentral's name for it is "7SK RNA (ENSETEG00000024513.1)". It matches the Rfam family "7SK RNA". Rfam says of the family: 7SK was discovered as an abundant small nuclear RNA in the mid-70s but a possible function has only recently been suggested. Two independent studies have found that 7SK RNA binds the CDK9/cyclin T complex (known as elongation factor P-TEFb). Lineage: Eukaryota; Metazoa; Chordata; Mammalia; Afrosoricida; Tenrecidae. The record is from RNAcentral.